GGAAAUAUCACUUAAUUAUAAAACAACCUUUUAUAGUAAACUAGGUAAUAAUCCGCGCCUUGUGCUGGAUAUAAUUUUUUGUUUCGUUAUUUUUAAUAAAAAGACAUGAAAUCUGUUUAAUCUGGAUAUUGGUUCUGUUUGAAAUUUUUUUUUUUUUGGUUUUUAAUCUUCUAAAAUAUAACUAUUAUUUUAAAUUAAUAUUCAUUUUAAAUUUUUCGGUUAAAAUGUUUGAUAUUUUGGUUUUUUCUGUUAAAAACCAAAAAUUAAUAUUAUUUAUUUAUUUUCAUGUUAAGAAUUUUAGAUAGCCG
This 308-nucleotide long non-coding RNA is filed under the name Brassica rapa (field mustard). RNAcentral's name for it is "long non-coding RNA (BRAP_LNC001183)". Lineage: Eukaryota; Viridiplantae; Streptophyta; Magnoliopsida; Brassicales; Brassicaceae. The record is from RNAcentral.